This 1038-nucleotide ribosomal RNA is filed under the name Inopinatum lactosum. Its description in RNAcentral is "SSU rRNA". Lineage: Eukaryota; Fungi; Ascomycota; Leotiomycetes; Thelebolales; Thelebolaceae. The record is from RNAcentral.
AGCAAUCUAUACAGUGAAACUGCGAAUGGCUCAUUAAAUCAGUUAUCGUUUAUUUGAYAGUACCUUACUACUUGGAUAACCGUGGUAAUUCUAGAGCUAAUACAUGCUAAAAACCUCGACUUCGGAAGGGGUGUAUUUAUUAGAUAAAAAACCAAUGCCCUUCGGGGCUCCUUGGUGAUUCAUAAUAACUUAACGAAUCGCAUGGCCUUGUGCCGGCGAUGGUUCAUUCAAAUUUCUGCCCUAUCAACUUUCGAUGGUAGGAUAGUGGCCUACCAUGGUUUCAACGGGUAACGGGGAAUUAGGGUUCUAUUCCGGAGAGGGAGCCUGAGAAACGGCUACCACAUCCAAGGAAGGCAGCAGGCGCGCAAAUUACCCAAUCCCGACACGGGGAGGUAGUGACAAUAAAUACUGAUACAGGGCUCUUUUGGGUCUUGUAAUUGGAAUGAGUACAAUUUAAAUCCCUUAACGAGGAACAAUUGGAGGGCAAGUCUGGUGCCAGCAGCCGCGGUAAUUCCAGCUCCAAUAGCGUAUAUUAAAGUUGUUGCAGUUAAAAAGCUCGUAGUUGAACCUUGGGCCUGGUUGGUCGGUCCGCCUCACCGCGUGCACUGAUCCGACCGGGCCUUUCCUUCUGGGGAGCCGCAUGCCCUUCACUGGGUGUGUCGGGGAACCAGGACUUUUACUUUGAAAAAAUUAGAGUGUUCAAAGCAGGCCUAUGCUCGAAUACAUUAGCAUGGAAUAAUAGAAUAGGACGUGUGGUUCUAUUUUGUUGGUUUCUAGGACCGCCGUAAUGAUUAAUAGGGAUAGUCGGGGGCAUCAGUAUUCCGUUGUCAGAGGUGAAAUUCUUGGAUUUACGGAAGACUAACUACUGCGAAAGCAUUUGCCAAGGAUGUUUUCAUUAAUCAGUGAACGAAAGUUAGGGGAUCGAAGACGAUCAGAUACCGUCGUAGUCUUAACCAUAAACUAUGCCGACUAGGGNUCGNNCGAUGUUAUCUUUUUGACUCGCUCGGCACCUUACGAGAAAUCAAAGUUUCAAAGUUU